Mycena leptocephala is the source of this 92-nucleotide non-coding RNA. The record is from the annotation of a GenBank genome assembly. NCBI's taxonomy places the organism in Eukaryota, Fungi, Basidiomycota, Agaricomycetes, Agaricales, Mycenaceae.
GGCCUUGUGGUGUAGUGGUAACAUGUCCUCUGUUGAUUGUUCCGCCGUCUUCGUCUUCGAGGAAGUCUCUUGUUCGAAUCAAUGUGAGGUCA